GGGCGGUUAGCUCAGCGGAAGAGCAGCCGGCUUACAACCGGCAGGUCACUGGUUCGAGCCCAGUACCGCCCACCG
This 75-nucleotide transfer RNA is filed under the name Trebonia kvetii. RNAcentral's name for it is "Actinobacteria bacterium 15TR583 tRNA-Val". It matches the Rfam family "tRNA". From Rfam's summary of the family: Transfer RNA (tRNA) molecules are approximately 80 nucleotides in length. Lineage: Bacteria; Bacillati; Actinomycetota; Actinomycetes; Streptosporangiales; Treboniaceae. The record is from RNAcentral.